AUCGGGGCGGUCGCGCUUCUGGAGGCGAUCGAGUUCCAGCACAUAAGGCCCUCGUCGGCGGGUUUCCAACUUUGGCCCCUCGUAGAAUAAGUUGGUGGUUAUCUUUUCUCCUUUUUUUGUCAUCCCUUGGCCAGAUGUCGGUCAAGGGCUUUUAUACUAUUAUGCGAGGAUCGGUCGUACGUGGAUUUGGUACGGUAAACGAUCCCCG
This 208-nucleotide long non-coding RNA is filed under the name Musa acuminata (dwarf banana). RNAcentral's name for it is "long non-coding RNA (MACU_LNC011060)". Lineage: Eukaryota; Viridiplantae; Streptophyta; Magnoliopsida; Zingiberales; Musaceae. The record is from RNAcentral.